UUUAUUGGAGAGUUUGAUCCUGGCUCAGGAUGAACGCUGGCGGCGUGCCUAAUACAUGCAAGUCGAGCGAAUGGAUUGAGAGCUUGCUCUCAAGAAGUUAGCGGCGGACGGGUGAGUAACACGUGGGUAACCUGCCCAUAAGACUGGGAUAACUCCGGGAAACCGGGGCUAAUACCGGAUAACAUUUUGAACUGCAUGGUUCGAAAUUGAAAGGCGGCUUCGGCUGUCACUUAUGGAUGGACCCGCGUCGCAUUAGCUAGUUGGUGAGGUAA
RNAcentral lists this ribosomal RNA (272 nucleotides) under Bacillus thuringiensis serovar darmstadiensis. Its description in RNAcentral is "partial 16S ribosomal RNA". It matches the Rfam family "Bacterial small subunit ribosomal RNA", at positions 1 to 260 of the family's 1533-position model. The record is from RNAcentral. Lineage: Bacteria; Bacillati; Bacillota; Bacilli; Caryophanales; Bacillaceae.